GCUGGAAAGGGUGCUUUCACCAAGCCCCAUGUAUCACAGAGGCUUUUCAGAUAUGCACUGAGCAGUCACUUGGGAUGUGCAAACUAAAAGACUGCAUAAGAUUCGACUGAAUGAAUGCAGUCUGUAGUCUGGGACAUGUGGGAUCUAGUCCAUGCACAGCUUGAGAUCUGGAGUACAGUGCUGUGUUUGCAGGCAGUCACUAUCUUAAGCCUCCUCAAAGUGAGGUAGCUUAUGCACACCACUUUCAGACCACAAGAAGGGUCUGUGGGUCCCAAAUGUGUCAGCGUUUUCCAGCUGCCUUGGUAAAACCUGCAGCUGGUUUUAAUUGCGUCCCUCGGUUCUGAGAUCAUGAGCUCAGAGAAGCUUUCCUCAAGCUUCAAGAUCCCACUGGAACUUGUGGUAUUUGGACAUUGUAUUAAGUACUUUAUCUGUGGAAAUACCUACUUACUGAGCUCUGCUCACACACAUCUGCUGCUCGCUUACAGUGGAAAUCUCAUAGACUUUUCCCUUUUGCAUCAUGGGAAACCAUCUCAGAAAUGGCACUCUGGAGAGUUAAACCUCUUUUUUUAGAAAAGACUGGAGGAAAAGAAAGAUACAGGACAGCAUCCUAGUUGCAGUCCAAUACAGGGGAAGGAAUGGGGUAAAGGAGGACUCUUCUCCCUCUUACUCCUCUCCAGCAAAGGAGUAAAGCAGAAAAGAGCUGUGCAGUUGUGGGCUCAGGGAGCAUCCCUGGGAAGUGAAAGCGCUGGAACCCUUGUACCCUGGCAGAUGAGAAGGUGCUCUACCUUUCCCUCCAGGGUACCAGUAGAGAGUCCAGCUGUUUCUUUCUCCCACCCUUACAAGUGAGGUGAGAUCAGAUGAGCUGGGGGUUAGGCUCAGGUUCAUCAAAGACAGUCAAGUUCUCGUGGUUCUCUCUCUUUCUUACUUGCCAUAUCCUCAAAGGGUAUUUUUGUUGUUAUUAAGAACAAUUCUCCCAGUACAGCUGCACCUCUCUUGGAUCAAACAGUGGUAUAGCGAGGAGUUAGAGAGACUACCUGCUCCUGUUUGCUCGUUUUGAGCAAACAAGCUUUACCCAUCUUUAUUCAUUGCACAUCACCAGAACAAAUGGAGGGCAUAAAGUGCUUUGCUCUUGCCCAGGCUGGUUUAAAAAAAAAGCUGCAUUUAAUAGAGAGAAGUCUUGGAUUCUGGAAUAGAAGCCGUGUAUGACUACCUCUCAGAUGACACUCCAAUUCAGGAGAAGUGGUGAAAGGACAUCUGUUGGCAAAUUGCCUUUCUGGGUUAUUGAGAGCAGCAAGUUGAAAAACAGAAGAGAUAUGUGGGAUCCCAGCUGACCAUAAGAAAUCAAAUUGUGCUCUUUAAAAGAAAACUGAUUACCAGACAUAUUAAGCUUUAAUCUUAUUUGCAGUUAGAUGCCCCAAAGAGAAUGCUUUGUUGGAGACCUUCCAAGAACAGCUAUUGCAGACAGCUUGUAAAACAAAGACAAUGUGAUGGAAAAAAAUGCAAAUACAGCUCAACAUUUGCUGUAAUAAAGUUAGUUUAUGACACCCUUUGUAACAACCUCAACAAUAAAGGCCAAUUUCUUCAUUGGCAAUUAGCUCUGGUGGGACAGACGCUUCCCCAAAGUUGACGUGAAGACAAUAUUUACAUAUCUCUUUCUUUUUACAAAGCAGAUUGUAUCUGGCUUGUAUGUAUACUUUUUAUUUCUGAGGUUUUCUUUUAAAAACACCAUUUAAAUACUGAGUGUAAAAUGACCUCCACCAAGGUACUGCUUGUUUGCAUUCAGUUCAGAUGGGAUGCUGCUUCAUAUUCCGGUGCAGCAAACUGCCAAACCGUGACACAGUGACCUGCUUCAGCUGGGGAAUGUUUUAAUCCCAGUUCUGUGAGGAUUCUUUGGCAAGGCUGCUGCUGGCUGUUGUCCUCACGGCCCUAAGCCAUGUUGCUGACAUGAAUGAUGGUGACACAUACUCUGUCUGUGGGAUCUGGCCCCUAGUGCCUCUGUUUACCUUGCAGGUAGCCUGAACUUCAGUUCCUCAUCUGCCCAAAGCCUGGCAGCUUUGGCAUUUGUCCUGGCCAGUUCAUCUCCCUGCAGCUGUAAGUGGGCCGCUGGUGUAGGAGAGAGACUGCACCCAUGAGUGCCUGCUACAGUAAAAAUUACACAGGAGGUUUUCCCUCUCCAGGCACUAUUUUCCCCUGACCUGGCAUUUUGCAAGGUUCUGGGAACAUCAGAGGGGUGGCACGGUUUGGACAAAUGUGUAACCAAAGCAAGAAAAAUCCUUUAUUUUCCCCUUUCUCCCCUCCAGGACAAUCAGAAGGAUAGCAUUGACCGUAAUUACAAACCAUCCAAAGAUUUAAAAAAUCUAUUUAUUUGUUGCCAUGACUUGAAGAUGUAUGUAUUUUAAAAGAUUCCUCCAAUAAUAAUUUUACGAAGUUGACUUAGUAGUGCUCCACAAGCCAUAAACCUGAAUCUCAAUGUACUUCUCCUAAUACACAUGCCAUAAACUUGGUCCUUAAAUUAUAGACUACAUUUUUGAAUGUACACUUACUCCAAAAUUACUUUUUUUUUUUUCCUACAUGGUUUAGUGAGUUCAUAUCACUUCUGAAAGUGUCUUUGGCUGUAUCUAGAUGUCUCACGCUGACUUCUUCUUUUCAUGAAACUGAUAACAUUUUUGCUAAGUGAGUUUCCUAGACUCGGUUGCAAUGCAAUAUAAUAGAUAAUCGAGGUGUCAUAAAGACAUUCCACCAGAGGGGUUUGGGAUACAUUCUACGGCAUCAUCAAUCAUAACGGAACAAGCUUUAAGCUGCUUGCAUACAGUGAACUGCUUGCAAACAAUAGAUCAUUCUUGCUAAAACUUUUUAGCGUAAAUUGAAACCAUGCAUUUUUGGCAUAAGGAAGCCCGAUACUUCUCAUAUUAUUUGCCUGUGUAUAAACACACACGUAUUCAAUCCCCAGCCUAUAAAUGCUAAAUGAAGGUAGCUUUAUGGUUCCUGCAGUGGUGUGCAUUACCUCUCCUGGGGAAGAUGCCUGUCACAGUACACAGUCUCUGGUGAGUGUAUCAGCUGAGCAGCGCAGCGAAGCUCAAACAUUUAAGUUGUUUAAGCACACAAGGAAUCCCAUUCAGCUCGUUGGAGAUGAACGUAUGCAUGAGUCCUGUACCGGGCAAAGAAUGCCUCCUUGUUCUACUGUUUAUGCACUGGCUACCUUGGUAUUUUUACAUAUGUGUUUACUCUGUCACCUGACUACAAUUUUAAGCAUUUUUCAAACUGUUUUUUAUUUCAACUAUUUCAGUCAACAUUAGUCAAAGGCACUUUUAGUCUAAUCCUCAGCUUACCCUAGCCAGAUGUCUCCUCUCCACAGAGUCCAUCCUGCACUUUUUGACUCUUCCCAGCAAGGGGACAACAG
This is a long non-coding RNA of Pezoporus flaviventris, 3400 nucleotides long. RefSeq lists it as uncharacterized. The transcript is spliced from 3 exons. NCBI's taxonomy places the organism in Eukaryota, Metazoa, Chordata, Aves, Psittaciformes, Psittacidae. The record is from RefSeq and is a predicted model, not a curated record.